UUAAAGGGAGACUGCUACUGGCGUAGGCAAUGCUUAAGCGGCGAACACGUUUCAAAUCGAUAAAGUAUCUUAGUCGGCACUCGAACUACGGCAAAGUAUCUGCGAUGAAUUUAAAGAAAACGAGAGAGCUAAAAGAGAGAAAAUACUUGACACCAAGGUGUCCACUCAAAUACUGUGUCUUCGAUUUUCUCACACUCCUCACUCUCCCUCUAUCUCUGUGAAUGUGAAAGAAACUAAAUGAGAAACACAAGAAGACCACUCAAAGUGUUUGGUUCUUGAGUGAUCUAAAAAGUGUCAAAUUAUUGAAAAUUUUUGUUUGUAGUAUUGUUUACAUUCAGAGCUGAUAAUAAUCGGAUCACAUCGAAGUGACAGUUUAGUGGUUGCUUAGCUUAGUGUGUGCCGGUCUGCGUUGAACAAUGUUCGCAUAGAGCACACGUGCUCUGUGUAGACUCUUAACAUUAAGAAAAUUCUGAACAAUAAGAUUGAUGAACUUUGAUUUAUUUUUGAGAAUUCGGGUUUGGAUGCUAUUUGUGUAUCGGAGACGUGGCUGAAAGAGACAACUCCUGACUAUUUCAUUAAUCUUGAAGGGUAUACGGUUUUCUGGGCUGAUAGACUACGCAGCAAUAUAACGACUCGCAUGUGUGCCAGAUCGGAUGAUAUCAUUGAAUAUGUGUUCAUCGAAAUAUCUGCUGUGGAAAGGAAGCUGUUACUUGGCCAAAACAACAACUAUAGGCCAAAUAACAAUAUUGACAUGGGACCAUUCAUGGAAAUAGUGGAACACCUCACUAUUACCUACUCGGAUGUAAAUACAGCAGGUGAUUUUAAUUCUAACAUCCUUUUGGACACAAGUCUCACCGUGGAGAUAUCUUCGUUGCGCUUAUUACCGACCAAUACAUCCAUGCCGACUCAUUUUUCGUCCAGUUCCAGCACCCUUCUAGAUUUGUUCUUUGCCAGUGAGAUUUCAAGUGUUCCUUGUAUGCCCAACUAUCCGCAUCGUGCUUCUCUAACCAUGAUUUAAUUUUUCUGUCCUACAGCUUUGACAUUCUUAGAAGGGAGGAGUCUUAUUCAUAUAGAGAUUACGGUAGUCGGGACCACGAAGCCCUGCUUUCUUUAAUUUCUGAUAUCGAUUGGAGUUAAUUGCACCAUAUGGAAUCGGUAGACGAUCAGGUGAACAUUUUGUCUGGAAAUGUGUGUGCUAUCCAGGAUCUUAUGCUCUCGGUCAGAAUGAGACGAAUUUGGCCAAGGACUAAAUCUUGGUUUUCGGCAGAUACUCGUGUUGCAAUUGAAAUCCGAAACACUGCAUACUGUAGAUGGAAGCGUUUUAGGACGUCGCACCUACGAGAGGAAUAUCGCUCCUACAGAGCAUGAGUCAAUAAAUUGAUAAAAUCUGCCAGUCAACUACUACCUCAAACGUUUCACCUCGGCGAUCGGUUCGAAGAAGAUUUGGAAGGUCAUUGGCAUCGGUUGCAGAUCCCCUGAUAACUUCACUCCAUCAGUUUCUGAACUUUUAAUUUUUUUUAUUUGUUUUUUUUUUUUUUAAUUCACUCACAUUUUGUACUAUUUGGGGGUUACUCCGUCAUCAAACGUACACAUUACUUUGGAUUUUUGCUUUAUUAGCAAUAAUUAAGUUGCAAAUAUGUAUUUUUUUGCUAGUGCAUUUUUCGCUUUUAACGCAAACAAAGCAACACAACAAUGCAGAUGAUGUACAGGUCUAUAUAAGUAGUCCUAAGGAAUAUCUAGAAGACCAUGUCACGAUGCGGAACCAUGACCUGUCUCGGUCAUAAGAAUAAAAUGAAUUUGGUAUAAAAUGUUUUAAUACUCAUCUGUAGGCCUCUAUUAAAUAUCAUCAAAAUGGGUUCAGAUUUACACAUAGCUUCAAUAAUCGGUUGAGUAUGGGAACCGAUUUUAUCCAAAAUUCAUAGCGUUUGUAACCACGUAACUGUGACUAACUCGAAAAGAUUUUCCAGGUUGUUCAACCAUCAAUUUUAGAACAUCGCGAGAGUGACAAGCCUAAGGGGAAAACCGUUCGUCGAAUCCGUGGUGUUCGAGCCGAUGGACAACCAUCACAGUUUACUGUGGACGAAAUUACGAAUAUCAUCCGUAGCGCCAAAUCAUCCAAGCCUUUAAGACCCGACGGAGUCUUUAUACUGAUUCUGAAUAAUCUGAAUCUACCUGGUCACUUGCCGGCAGCACUCAAAGAAACCAUGUCGCUCACUUACAAACCAAUUGGCCGGUCUGUGGUUAUGCAGUUAUGCAGCGCCAGUGUGGUCUCGUCAGCUAUGUGACACACAGUGAAAUAAUAUUCAGAUUUGUCUCCUUAGUUCUCCAUCAGGAGACAAAGAUCCUACCCGUGUGAAGACAUAACUACAUGCGGUCUAAGCAAUACCUUAUGGACAUCGCAGGGACUAUCCAAAUCAACAUCUUGUGGAUAGGUUUCCACCACUCAGAAGCCUUAAAGGGGGAUUUACAUGAUCCAGAGCGAGAGGUUCAGCGCUACAAGAGAGAAUCUCUAAAUCAAGCGGCAUAACAUACGGGCAUAGACAACAUUCAUGCAAAUACGGUAGCAGAUGUGGUAAAAAGCUACCGGGUGAAUUUGGUCUUUGGAGAACGACCACUACACACAGCACUUUAAUAUAUUUAUCUCCUCCGGCAGUUAACCAGUGGUUCUGGCUAAAUUGCGAUCCGGCAGAUGCAGGUGCCACAACUCCUACAGAACAAGGAUUGAUACCAACGUGCAGUAUUUAUUUAUUUAUUUGUAUUUCUAGUACAACCAGAUGAUAUCUUAUAAAAUAUAGUACUAGAUAAAGUUAAAUAUUGCAAUGGCAAAACAAACAAGUAAAAAAUCGUUAAGUUCGGCCGGACCAAACUUUGGAUACCAACCACCUCGGUUAUAUAUGUAAACCACCUUUCGUCAAAAUUUGGUAAAUAAUGCAUACCUUAUGUCCCAUAGCAGCUAUAUCGAAAUAUGUUCCGAUUUUGAUCAAAUACUAAAAAAUACAAGUCAUUGUUCAAUUAUGUAUAACAAAAUAUUGGUCCAUUUAGUAGCUAAAUCUAAAAAUAAACCGAUCUGAACCAUAUACGACACGGAUGUCGAAAAGCCUAACAUAA
Long non-coding RNA from Stomoxys calcitrans (stable fly), 3108 nucleotides. RefSeq lists it as uncharacterized. NCBI's taxonomy places the organism in Eukaryota, Metazoa, Arthropoda, Insecta, Diptera, Muscidae. The record is from RefSeq and is a predicted model, not a curated record. The transcript is spliced from 2 exons.